Molecule: ribosomal RNA, 482 nt
Filed under: uncultured bacterium
Lineage: Bacteria
Description: partial 16S ribosomal RNA
Rfam family: Bacterial small subunit ribosomal RNA
Source: RNAcentral
GACGAACGCUGGCGGCGUGCUUAACACAUGCAAGUCGAACGAUGAACUGGAGCUUGCUCCAGGGAUUAGUGGCGAACGGGUGAGUAACACGUGAGUAACCUGCCCUUGACUCUGGGAUAAGCGCUGGAAACGGCGUCUAAUACCGGAUACGAGCUUCAGCCGCAUGGCUAGGAGUUGGAAAGAAUUUCGGUCAAGGAUGGACUCGCGGCCUAUCAGCUAGUUGGUGAGGUAAUGGCUCACCAAGGCGACGACGGGUAGCCGGCCUGGGAGGGUGAGCGGCCACACUGGGACUGAGACACGGCCCAGACUCCUACGGGAGGCAGCAGUGGGGAAUAUUGUACAAGGGGCGCAAGCCUGAUGCAGCAACGCCGCGUGAGGGAUGACGGCCUUCGGGUUGUAAACCUCUUUUAGUAGCGAAGAAGCGAAAGUGACGGUACCUGCAGAAAAAGCACCGGCUAACUACGUGCCAGCAGCCGCCGUAA